Molecule: transfer RNA, 77 nt
Filed under: Eubacteriales Family XIII. Incertae Sedis bacterium
Lineage: Bacteria; Bacillati; Bacillota; Clostridia; Peptostreptococcales; Anaerovoracaceae
Description: tRNA-Lys
Rfam family: tRNA
About the family: Transfer RNA (tRNA) molecules are approximately 80 nucleotides in length. Their secondary structure includes four short double-helical elements and three loops (D, anti-codon, and T loops).
Source: RNAcentral
GCCUCCUUAGCUCAGUUGGAUAGAGCACCUGACUCUUAAUCAGGGCGUCCUCGGUUCGGGCACGAGAUGGGGCACCA